CUACGGGAUGCAGCAGUAAGGAAUAUUGCGCAAUGGAGGCAACUCUGACGCAGCCAUGCCGCGUGCAGGAAGAAGGCCUUAUGGGUCGUAAACUGCUUUUAUUUAGGAAUAAACCCCCGAACGUGUUCGGGGCUGAAGGUACUGAAUGAAUAAGCACUGGCUAACUCCGUGCCAGCAGCCGCGGUAAUACGGAGGGUGCAAGCGUUAUCCGGAUUUAUUGGGUUUAAAGGGUGCGCAGGCGGGCUAUUAAGUCAGUGGUGAAAUCCCGGGGCUCAACUCCGGAACUGCCAUUGAUACUGAUAGUCUUGAGUUUGGUUGAAGUGGGCGGAAUGUAGCAUGUAGCGGUGAAAUGCAUAGAUAUGCUACAGAACACCAAUCGCGAAGGCAGCUCACUAAGCCAAAACUGACGCUCAUGCACGAAAGCGUGGGGAUCAAACAGGAUUAGAUACCCUGGUAGUC
RNAcentral lists this ribosomal RNA (459 nucleotides) under uncultured bacterium. RNAcentral's name for it is "partial 16S ribosomal RNA". It matches the Rfam family "Bacterial small subunit ribosomal RNA", at positions 339 to 795 of the family's 1533-position model. The record is from RNAcentral.